CUUUGAUGAUCUCUUCUCUUUCUAUUAGUCAAUGUUCUGCCCUGAAUUGUACAUUGUGGAUUAGUUCUGGGACAGCUCGAUUUUUUUUUUUUUUUUAAGAUUUUGAUGUUGUCUUCACCAUUUGUCUCCAGAUGCUACUGUAAUAGAAAUUCAGGCUCCUGCCUGUGCCAUAAACUCAUUUAUUCUUGAUGUCUCUACAGAUAUCACUUAUUAUAACAAUGAAGAAGUACUUACGUGCAGGAUCUGAAUUUAUGCGGGCAAGGAACGGUUCAAAAGCUGCCUACUUUACAUUAUGCAAUGACUGUCUAGAUCCUGCUACAUUGCACUUGCUUAUGAACAUUGGUUUUGUGCUACCGUGCAAUUCUAGUAGUGGAACUGGGCCGGAAAACCUCCCUGGAGGACUCUUGCGGUCAGGCUGAACAAG
RNAcentral lists this long non-coding RNA (424 nucleotides) under Struthio camelus australis. RNAcentral describes it as "lncRNA (ENSSCUG00000015493.1)". The record is from RNAcentral. Lineage: Eukaryota; Metazoa; Chordata; Aves; Struthioniformes; Struthionidae.